CUCUCCUGUCAAAUCAGGCUUACAAACAGCUUGGCAUACAAACAGUUACUGCUUGUGUGCAGGCGGAUUUAGGGUCCCCGUCUGAUAAUGCCCCAGAUUUAAUGAGAUAUUUGGAUGAGUUGACACCGAAUGAAUUUCCUGAGUUGACAUCAUGAGACACUUUUUGCCUUUUUGGCUUGUCAGAAGCAAGACAGGACGUGUGAUGUGAAGGAGAAUGGAUAGAACCGUGAUGGGAGGGAGGAAAUCUGAGUCCCCUUUGCCUGAUCUUCUUCCUGGGGGCAGCAGUCGUGGUGGAGGGAUGGAUACCUGCCUUCCCUCCUCCCACCUGGAAAGACACUGAACACUGAGAAAAUGAUUUUUCUCCUCUCGACUAGGCAAAAGCAGACUGAGGACAGGUUUAGG
This is a long non-coding RNA of Heterocephalus glaber (naked mole-rat), 402 nucleotides long. NCBI's taxonomy places the organism in Eukaryota, Metazoa, Chordata, Mammalia, Rodentia, Bathyergidae. The record is from Ensembl.